GACCCGCUCGAUAGCCCCCGCCUCGCCGGCCCGGACGAUGUAUAGGGCGCGCUCUUCAUCCAUGGCCGCAGGUGCGGGGGAGCCGCGGCCGCUGCGCGCGCCCCAGCCGCUGCCUCCCAGAGGUCCUGAGUUCAAUUCCCAGCAACCACAUGGUGGCUCAUGACCAUCUAGAAUGAGAUCUGAUUCCCUCUUCUGGGUGAAUAUCUGCACAUGUGAAUGCAACUACCCAAAGAGUCCAGACAAGAGUGUCAGAUCCCCUGGAGCUGGAGUUAUAGGCAGCUGUGAGCUGCCUGAUGUUGGUGCUGGGAACAGUGCCCACUCUUAACUGCUGAGCCAUCUCAAACGCCUUGUGCAAUUGUUUUUAAUGAGAGAAAAUUCCA
Long non-coding RNA from Meriones unguiculatus (Mongolian gerbil), 380 nucleotides. RefSeq lists it as uncharacterized. The transcript has 3 exons. NCBI's taxonomy places the organism in Eukaryota, Metazoa, Chordata, Mammalia, Rodentia, Muridae. The record is from RefSeq and is a predicted model, not a curated record.